AAUAAUAAACCAAAAGCUUCUAAAAUAAGCUGAAAACCGUAGGACAACUUGUUAUUGCUAAGAAAGUGAAGCUGUCUUUAUUUAUUUAUUUUCCUUAAAAAAUGGCCCUACUAAAAAAUGUUGAUCUUUAACUUUUUUUUUUUAUUUUUAAAUGUUUGUUUAAUAAAUUUGGUUGCAUUUUUAUUAUUGUUGCAAUAAAUUUUUAAAAUGGGUUUUUUUUUUUUUUUUGAAAUCAAGUAGGAGCCGAAAAUAGCAAAGAAAAAUUGUGGUUUGGAAAUGUGUUAAAAAGGAAAUGGGCUAUUUAGUGUAAACGUGCACAUGCCUUGAAAGUAAUUAAAAAGGUUUGGGUGCUUAUGACUUAGCUGUUUUAUGUAAGAAAGCUCAGUGUGAGUUGGGCUCAAAUAUCUUAGCUGAAGCUGCCCCAUAGAGUUCAGUUGUUGGUGUGGAAGACAAUUGAGAAACUAUGGGAGCUCGAUGGACUAUUGAAAAGGGUCGAUGGGGUGCUGAAAGGGUCAGAUCGGGAGGCCCAUUGCUAUUCUUUUGUGGGAAGUGUGGAAUAACAUGAAUCUGUUGAUGGUCAAGGGCUCUCCUCUUGACUGUGCUUCUCUAGCGAAUUGUGUACGUGCACAUUUGGAGGAGUUUAUGAGUGUUCAUGCUGUGGUGGUUCCAGACUUUGGGAGGGAACUACAGGAAAGUGUGGUUUCAUAGGUGCCGCCGCCACCAAGGUGUGGAAGCUCAAUUCAUAUGCUUCCUUAAUGGAUCAUGAGGUGGUGGGUGACAUUAGUUAGGUGAUUUGAGAUUCUUCGGGUAGCCUUAUCCUUGCUGGUUGCAAGAAAGUUUGUCACAAGUGCCGAUUAAGUUUUUUGAAGCUUUGAUGAUGUGUCAUGGCUUGAGUGCUUUAUUUGAAUAUUUAUCUUGUGGUUUGCCCUCUUUCAUACGUAUCAAAUCUAACUAUACUGAGCCAAAUAACACUAUUUUACUUCAAAUAUGAAAUUGUUUAAGUUGUCUUGUUCUGUUAAAUAGAUUUGGGAUUUUGCUGCUUCUGAGCAUAGUACGACCCACCGUUUGACCUGCGUGACUAUUGUAAGUGAGAAUUGAGUGGAGUUUUUGUGACAUCUCUUUUUCUUGCUUUGAUGUGAUUGAGCUUUGUUGUAUUAUUCUCGACUUUGAUGAAUUUAGAUUUCCUUUCUAUUUGUUUUGCCAUAAAAUUACAGGUUAUAUAUUUUGUUUCUUAUUUCCAA
Long non-coding RNA from Cucumis sativus (cucumber), 1241 nucleotides. RefSeq lists it as uncharacterized. Lineage: Eukaryota; Viridiplantae; Streptophyta; Magnoliopsida; Cucurbitales; Cucurbitaceae. The record is from RefSeq and is a predicted model, not a curated record. The transcript is spliced from 2 exons.